This 163-nucleotide ribosomal RNA is filed under the name Ostryopsis davidiana. RNAcentral describes it as "5.8S ribosomal RNA". It matches the Rfam family "5.8S ribosomal RNA". Rfam says of the family: 5.8S ribosomal RNA (5.8S rRNA) is a component of the large subunit of the eukaryotic ribosome. The record is from RNAcentral. Lineage: Eukaryota; Viridiplantae; Streptophyta; Magnoliopsida; Fagales; Betulaceae.
AUAACGACUCUCGGCAACGGAUAUCUCGGCUCUCGCAUCGAUGAAGAACGUAGCGAAAUGCGAUACUUGGUGUGAAUUGCAGAAUCCCGCGAAUCAUCGAGUCUUUGAACGCAAGUUGCGCCCGAAGCCAUUGGUCGAGGCACGUCUGCCUGGGUGUCACGCA